UACGGGGGGGGCAAGCGUUGUUCGGAAUUACUGGGCGUAAAGGGCUCGUAGGCGGCCAACUAAGUCAGACGUGAAAUCCCUCGGCUUAACCGGGGAACUGCGUCUGAUACUGGAUGGCUUGAGGUUGGGAGAGGGAUGCGGAAUUCCAGGUGUAGCGGUGAAAUGCGUAGAUAUCUGGAGGAACACCGGUGGCGAAGGCGGCAUCCUGGACCGCAACUGACGCUGAGACACGAAAGCGUGGGUAGCAAACAGG
RNAcentral lists this ribosomal RNA (253 nucleotides) under uncultured bacterium. RNAcentral's name for it is "partial 16S ribosomal RNA". It matches the Rfam family "Bacterial small subunit ribosomal RNA", at positions 524 to 776 of the family's 1533-position model. The record is from RNAcentral.